CUGGGAAGAAUAAAGCGACCCUGCGAGGCGAGGCAUUGUUGGCCGAGGGGACAAAUGCUAAUUUCUCCUUCCCUCCACCGAACGCCCGAGCGAGAAAUGCAAAUACCUCUGGCAGAGGGCUGCAGAUAAAAGUCUGGGUGUCUGCAUGCGCGCACGCAGAUGGGUUUGAGUGCCGCGAUAAGCUGGCAAACAAGCCGCUCGAUCCCCAGCGCCGUGGGGCAACGGGGGGGCGCCGUGGGGCACAUCGGGGCGCUGCGGAGGUCCCGUGGGAUGCGGGAGGAGCGUGGAUUCCCCGCGGCUUCUCACCCCGCUCCCCAUCCCCGCCGUCCCAGCGGCUCCCGAUGGGGAGGAUGGGGGUGUCGGAGCCACCCCUCGCCCCGGGCAGGGCACAACAGGUGACCGCAGCCUCCCUCCCUCCCCCGGCUCAUCCCGCGCCUCCGACCAAUGUGACUCGCAUGUGUAAUUCAUUUUUAAAAGGGGCUUCUCGCUUCCCUCCCUCCCCGCUGCCUGCUGGAUUUUCCAAGCAGAGGGAAGGGGAGAGGGGUAUGAAUAAAAUAUCACCGUGACAGCUUUUAU
RNAcentral lists this long non-coding RNA (576 nucleotides) under Gallus gallus (chicken). RNAcentral's name for it is "lncRNA (ENSGALG00010028347.1)". The record is from RNAcentral. Lineage: Eukaryota; Metazoa; Chordata; Aves; Galliformes; Phasianidae.